Molecule: ribosomal RNA, 1390 nt
Filed under: Staphylococcus aureus
Lineage: Bacteria; Bacillati; Bacillota; Bacilli; Caryophanales; Staphylococcaceae
Description: bacterial SSU rRNA
Rfam family: Bacterial small subunit ribosomal RNA (bases 609-1390)
Source: RNAcentral
GGGGGGAAGAAAAAAAGAAAAAANGAAAAAAAAGGAAGAAAGAGAGGGGGGGGGGGGGGGAGGGGGGGGGGGGGGAGAGGGGGGGAAGGAGGGGGGAAGGGGAAAAAAAAAAAGAAGAAAAGAAAAGGAGGAGAAAAGAAGGAGAGGAAGAGGAGAGAAAAAGAGAAAGAGAAAGAGGGAGGGGGAGAGAAGGGGGGNNAGGGAAAGAAANNAGGGGGGGAGGGGGGGAGAAAGAAAGAAAAGGGGGAAGGGAAAAAAAAAAAGAAAAAGAAAAAAAAAGGGGGGGGGGGGGGGAAGGGGGGGGGGAAAAAAAAAAAAAAAGGAAAGGAAGAGAAAAAAAAAAAAAAAAAAAAAAGGGGGGAGGNAANGGGGGGGGGGGAGGGGAGGGGAAAAAANAAGGAGNNAAAAGAGAAAGGAAAAAAGAAAAAAGGGGGAAGAAGGAAAAAAAAAAGAAAANGGAAAGAGGAGAAAGAAAAGAGGAAGGNAGAAAAAGGGGGAGGAAAAAAAAAGGGGGGGGAAAGGGAGGGGGGGAGAAGAGAGGGGGAAAGAAGAAANGGAAGGAAGGGGANGAAGGAGGGGGAGNGANNNNAGNNNNNANGANGNNGNNNNGUUUUUAGAGUUUGUUUAUUCGCUCAGGAUGAACGCUGGCGGCGUGCCUAAUACAUGCAAGUCGAGCGAACGGACGAGAAGCUUGCUUCUCUGAUGUUAGCGGCGGACGGGUGAGUAACACGUGGAUAACCUACCUAUAAGACUGGGAUAACUUCGGGAAACCGGAGCUAAUACCGGAUAAUAUUUUGAACCGCAUGGUUCAAAAGUGAAAGACGGUCUUGCUGUCACUUAUAGAUGGAUCCGCGCUGCAUUAGCUAGUUGGUAAGGUAACGGCUUACCAAGGCAACGAUGCAUAGCCGACCUGAGAGGGUGAUCGGCCACACUGGAACUGAGACACGGUCCAGACUCCUACGGGAGGCAGCAGUAGGGAAUCUUCCGCAAUGGGCGAAAGCCUGACGGAGCAACGCCGCGUGAGUGAUGAAGGUCUUCGGAUCGUAAAACUCUGUUAUUAGGGAAGAACAUAUGUGUAAGUAACUGUGCACAUCUUGACGGUACCUAAUCAGAAAGCCACGGCUAACUACGUGCCAGCAGCCGCGGUAAUACGUAGGUGGCAAGCGUUAUCCGGAAUUAUUGGGCGUAAAGCGCGCGUAGGCGGUUUUUUAAGUCUGAUGUGAAAGCCCACGGCUCAACCGUGGAGGGUCAUUGGAAACUGGAAAACUUGAGUGCAGAAGAGGAAAGUGGAAUUCCAUGUGUAGCGGUGAAAUGCGCAGAGAUAUGGAGGAACACCAGUGGCGAAGGCGACUUUCUGGUCUGUAACUGACGCUGAUGGCGAAAAGGACGG